CACUAUACAGCUAGACAGGAGCAAGCGAUAGCCUUUUAAGCUAUUAUGGGUGGCUCCUAACCACCCUUAGUGA
RNAcentral lists this transfer RNA (73 nucleotides) under Megophrys gigantica. RNAcentral's name for it is "tRNA-Lys". Lineage: Eukaryota; Metazoa; Chordata; Amphibia; Anura; Megophryidae. The record is from RNAcentral.